AAAACCAACGGGUGAGAGCACACACAAUACAUGGUAUAGUAUUGACAAUGUAGUAAUAUAGUAUUGUAUUUUGUGUGUGCUCUCACCCAUUGGUUUU
Molecule: non-coding RNA, 97 nt
Organism: Pelobates cultripes (western spadefoot toad)
Lineage: Eukaryota; Metazoa; Chordata; Amphibia; Anura; Pelobatidae
Source: the annotation of a GenBank genome assembly